CCCCACAAAUGUGGCCAGCCACACGCUGGAAUACGACGCAGCCGUGAAGAGGAGUGAAGCCCUGACACAGCCACACCGUGGACGGACCCUGAACACACAACGCUCAGUGAGAGAACCAGACACAGAGGGA
Molecule: non-coding RNA, 130 nt
Organism: Ceratotherium simum simum (southern white rhinoceros)
Lineage: Eukaryota; Metazoa; Chordata; Mammalia; Perissodactyla; Rhinocerotidae
Source: RefSeq, a predicted model, not a curated record